RNAcentral lists this unclassified non-coding RNA (341 nucleotides) under soil metagenome. RNAcentral describes it as "partial contains 5.8S ribosomal RNA, internal transcribed spacer 2, and large subunit ribosomal RNA". The stretch from base 1 to 120 matches the Rfam family "5.8S ribosomal RNA", at positions 35 to 154 of the family's 154-position model. The record is from RNAcentral.
GAUGAAGAACGUAGCGAAAUGCGAUAAGUAGUGUGAAUUGCAGAAUUCAGUGAAUCAUCGAAUCUUUGAACGCACAUUGCGGCCAUAGGUAUUCCUUUGGCCAUGCCUGUUCGAGCGUCAUUUACACCCUCAAGCCUAGCUUGGUGUUGGGCGUCUGUCCCGCCGUUCUCGCGCGCGGACUCGCCUCAAAGUCAUUGGCGGCGGUCGUGCCGGCCCCCUCGCGCAGCACAUUUGCGCUUCUCGGAGGCCCGGCGGAUCCGCGCUCCAGCAAGACCUUUCACGACUUGACCUCGGAUCAGGUAGGGAUACCCGCUGAACUUAAGCAUAUCAAUAAGCGGAGA